GAGCCUAUAGCCUAGUCGUCAUGGCAUCUGCCCGGUAAGCGGAAGGUCGUGGGUUCGAUUCCCAUCCCUUGACACU
Molecule: transfer RNA, 76 nt
Filed under: Cordylochernes scorpioides
Lineage: Eukaryota; Metazoa; Arthropoda; Arachnida; Pseudoscorpiones; Chernetidae
Description: tRNA-Thr
Rfam family: tRNA (bases 8-65)
About the family: Transfer RNA (tRNA) molecules are approximately 80 nucleotides in length.
Source: RNAcentral